UUUGUCCUGAAGGGGUGAAUAUCAAAUACACUUAGAAAUACAUUUAGAUAGAGAUAGAUAGAUAUAUAGAUAUAUAUAAAUGUAUCUAUAUCUAUCUAUCUAAAUGUAUUACUAAGUGUAUUUGAUAUUCACCCCUUCAGGACGCA
Pelobates cultripes (western spadefoot toad) is the source of this 146-nucleotide non-coding RNA. NCBI's taxonomy places the organism in Eukaryota, Metazoa, Chordata, Amphibia, Anura, Pelobatidae. The record is from the annotation of a GenBank genome assembly.